GCAAACAGAACUCAGCAAUACAUAAAAGGAAUUACACACCAUGACCAAGUGGGGUUUAUUCUAGGGGUCUAGCUGGUAAAUAUUCAAUUAUCAGUCAAUGUAAUUCACCAUAUUAACAGGCUAAAGAAGAAAAUUACAUGACCAUAUCAAUGCAUAAAAAGUCUCUGACAACCUUCAAUACCCAUCAUGAUAUAAACACUCAGAAAAAUAAGGGAACUUCCUUAACUUGAUGAAAAGCAUCUAUAAACUAUUAUACAGAUAAUAUACUUCAUGAGAAAUAAGGCAAGAAAAAAAUUUUUUAAAGAACAAAAAGGAAGAAAUAAAACUGCCUCUAUUUCUAGAUAUCAUGAGAUUGCAUAGAAAAUCCCAACAAAUCUAAAAACAGAAACAAAAAUGAACAAACAACUAAAACCUGUAAGAAAGCUCAGCAAGGUCACUGAAUAUUAGAUAAACAAACAUUCAAAAAUCAAUUGUAUUUGUUGGUAUGCUAGCAACGAACAUUAGUGAAUGCUAAAUUUAAAAUACAAUACCAUUUACAACUACUUGAAAAUCUAAUAAAACUUGUACAGAACUUGGAUGCUGAAAAGCACAAAAUGCUAAUAAAAGAAAUCAAAGAUCUAAAUAAAUAAGAGACAUACUUGUGUUCAUGGAUUUGAAAACUCAACACAGUGAAGAUGUCAAUUCUGCCCAAGUAUAUACUAGUUUAAUGCAAUUCUUUAAAAAAAAUCCCUGAAUUUUGUAGGUAUAGACAAAGUUAUUCUAAAAUUCUUCUGUAAAGGCAAAGGUAUUAAAAUAGCCAAAACAAUUCUCAAAAUGAAUCAAAUGAGAAAAAUCAAUCUACCUGUUUCAAGAUUUGGUAUAGCCACAGUAAUCCAACACUGUGUGGUACUGGUGGAGGAACAGAUCAUUGGAAAGAAUAGAGAACUCAACUAAUUCCAUAUUAUUGCCCAGCUGAUUUUUGACAAAGGUGCAACAGUUAAUCAGUGGAGGAAGGACAGCCUUUUCAGCAAAUGGUGCUGGAGUUAUUGGACACCAAUAGACAAAACCAAAAUAAGCCUUAACUUAAACCUCAUACCUUGUACAAAAAUUAACUCAAAAUGGAUGAUGGGCCUAAUUACAAAACGUAAAGCCAUAAAACUUAGGAAAAAAACCUAAGAGAAAACCUUUGAGAUGUGGGGCUAGGCAAAGAAUCCUUAGAUGUGGCAUGACACCAUAAAAGAAAACAAGUUAAUAAUUGCACUUUAACAAAAUAAAAUCCUUCUAUUAUACAGGCUGGGAGAAAAUACUUGGAAGCCACACAUCCUACAAAGGAUUAUUAUCCAGACUAUACAAGGAACUCUCUAAGCUCAAUAUUAAAACAACAAGCAAUCCAGGAAAAAAAAAAUGGGCAAAAAGAAUGAACAGACAUUUCACUGAAGAAGAUAUAUGGAGAGCAAAUAAGCACAUGAAAAAAUGUUCAACGCAACUAUUCAUUGGGGAAAUUCACAUUGAGACCAUGACAAGAUAUCACCCUAUUAGUGCAGAUAAAAUAGGAAUAGUGACAGCACAAAAUGCUAGAGAGGAUGUGGAGAAAUCUUUCAUACAUUGCCUAUGAGAAUGUACAAAUGGUGCAGCCACUCUGGAACACAGUCUGGCAGUUUCUUCAAAAAAUAAACACAUAUUUGCUAUACAGCUUAGCAAUUGUACUCCCAGGCAUCUGUCCCAGAAAAAUUAUUAAAAAUUAUGUUCACGCAAAAACCUGCACAUAAAUUGUUAUAGCAAUCUUCCUUGUAAUAGCCUCAACUGGAAACAACCAAAAUAUCCCUCUAAAAGCACAUGGUGAAACAAACUGUGGCACAUUUAUCCCAUGGAAUACUACUCAGCAAUAAAAAGGAACAAGCUUUUGAAGCAACAAUGUGGAUGGAUCUCAAGGGCAUUAUACUGAGUAAAAAAGCAAUUAGAAAGUUCACAUAAUGAAUGAUACCAUUUAUAUAACAUUCUCAAAGUGACAAAAUUACAGAGGUGGAGAACAGACUAGUAGUUGCCAGGGGUUAAAGAUGGUUAAGGGGACCUGGGGUGUGUGUGACUACAGAGGAAGAGUACGGAGAUCCUUGGGGUGACACAUAGCUCCUGAUCUUGACUGGUGAUGGUUACACAAAUCCACUAUAUGUGAUUUUGUAUGGCUGCUCUUGAUAAUGUACUAUGGUUAUGCAAGAUGCAACCACAGGAGGGAGACUGAGGAAAGGAUGCACAGGACCUCUCUGUAUUAUCUUUGCAGCUCUAAGUUAGUUUAUAAUUAUUCCUAAAUAAAAAGUUGUUUUUUUUUUUUAAGUUACUAAAGGUUAGAAUACAAACUAUCUGAGACCAGGGACCUUACUGAUUCCUGGGUGUUUUAUCCUUAGCACCGAAAAAGUGACUUACCCAUAGUAGGUGCUCAAUUAACAUUUGGCAGCUAGAUGAAUACUUCUGUAAUAGAGUCCCAUUUCUGUUUUCUAAGGACCAUGAUUAUAAAUGGUGAACAUCUGGAAACAUAAACACCACAUGGUAAAUGGUAGUUACUUCCAGAGAUGCGACAAGAUGGGAAGAGACAAAGUUGGGAGGUGGUGACAAAAGGGAGAUCUUAUGAACACUGCAGAAAUACAGAGUAAAGGGUGAAAAUUUUCAUUCAUUUCCCUCUCCAUCAUUCCAAAGGAGGAUUUUCCUCAUCUUAAUGAUUUUUAAAAACUGUAAUACGUGCUUAGUCAUGAGAAAAGAGCAAAUAUACAUGUAGAUAAGGGAAUCCGCCUGUGUCUUGAUUCUGCUGUACUGGAAGACAGCGAGUGGAGGAGGCUCGUAGCAUAAAUACCCGACGACAGUGAGUAAGUAAGCUGGCGACCACUGCACAGUUGUGCCACACACUCCCCAGGUUGUCUCUGCACAGACCUGCUGAUCAACCACAGGAUGGAAAAUGCAUGUUAUGUAGGAAAUAAGUCCAAGGGGCUUUCACAAUUCUUCAGUUCUUAAAAUAACUUAUAAAAAUUAUAUUAUGUCAGUAAUUCCUACCUAUUUAAGAAUCCUUUUCCCAACUUCUAUUCCCUUUCUGUCAUGAAGCACAGUGUAAGACAUGUUUAAAACAUCAUCAUGAACAACAGUGGUGUUUCAACCAAUUAAUUGCCCUCUGCAGGCGAUGCCAUCACAGGGAAGAAGCACUGCAAAGUUAUCCAUUUUAUUAUUAACUUCUCUUUAAACUUCUGAUCUUUUGCUAGAUCAUGGCUUGAAUGUGCCUAUUUUAGUGCAGCCAUCAUACCCAUGUACAAAAAGUCCACAGCAGAUAGUGAAACCUUAAUAACACUUUAGUCUUACAUUAUAUCAUAUAGUGCUUUGGCCUUCUCAGGGUACCUCCACCUAGAUCUCUUUAAAAGCAUGUAAUAGCCCUGUGAGGUAGGCAGCAUUAAAAAAUUCUCAAGAAAUGAAAUAUUAUACCUAACAUUUCAUGUUUAGACAGUAGAUGAGUCAGAAUUUAGACCAGAGAUUUCUGCCUCCCAUUAUACCAUACUUUUAUGUGUUCUGGAAGGCAUACUGGUGGAGAAAUAAACACACUAUUUGUUAUAGUUUUAUAAAAAGAAUGCCUAUUUGCAAUGAUGGCUAUUUCACUUCGUUCUUCCUGCUUCACAUAAUUCCUCAACUCUACACAUGUUCUCCUUAAAUGUAAAUUUAAAACAUUGGCAUAUAUUAAUUAAGACCUGAGGGAUCCCUGGGUGGCGCAGCGGUUUGGCGCCUGCCUUUGGCCCAGGGCGCGAUCCUGGAGACCCGGGAUCGAAUCCCACGUCGGGCUCCCGGUGCAUGGAGCCUGCUUCUCCCUCUGCCUGUGUCUCUGCGCCUCUCUCUCUCUCUCUGUGACUAUCAUAAAUAAAUAACAAUUAAAAAAAAUAUUUAAAAAAAAAAAAAAAAA
Molecule: long non-coding RNA, 3910 nt
Filed under: Canis lupus familiaris (dog)
Lineage: Eukaryota; Metazoa; Chordata; Mammalia; Carnivora; Canidae
Description: lncRNA (ENSCAFG00845019905.1)
Source: RNAcentral